This 488-nucleotide ribosomal RNA is filed under the name uncultured bacterium. Its description in RNAcentral is "bacterial SSU rRNA". It matches the Rfam family "Bacterial small subunit ribosomal RNA", at positions 21 to 507 of the family's 1533-position model. The record is from RNAcentral.
GGCUCAGGAUGAACGCUAGCGGCAGGCUUAAUACAUGCAAGUCAGGGGCAGCAUGACUGUAGCAAUACAGUUGAUGGCGACCGGCAAACGGGUGCGGAACACGUACAGAACCUUCCUUCGAGCGGGGAACUAGCCCAGAGAAAUUUGGAUUAAUACCCCAUAGUACAUUAGAGUGGCAUCACUUUGAUGUUAAAGAUUUAUCACUUGAAGAUGGCUGUGCGGCUGAUUAGGUAGUGCGGGUACGGCCACAGCCUGCGAUCAGUAACUGGUGUGAGAGCACGACCAGUCACACGGGCACUGAGACACGGGCCCGACUCCUACGGGAGGCAGCAGUAAGGAAUAUUGGUCAAUGGACGAAAGUCUGAACCAGCCAUGCCGCGUGGAGGAUGAAGGUCCUCUGGAUUGUAAACUUCUUUUAUAUGGGACGAAAAAAGGGUUUUCUAACUCGUCUGACGGUACCAUAUGAAUAAGCACCGGCUAACUCCGUG